UACGUAGGGGGCAAGCGUUGUCCGGAAUCAUUGGGCGUAAAGCGCGCGUAGGUGGCCCGGUAAGUCCGCUCUGAAAGUCAAAGGCUCAACCUUUGAAAGCGGGUGGAUACUGUCGGGCUAGAGUCCGGAAGAGGCGAGUGGAAUUCCUGGUGUAGCGGUGGAAUGCGCAGAUAUCAGGAAGAACACCUAUGGCGAAGGCAGCUCUCUGGGACGGUACUGACGCUGAGACGCGAAAGCGUGGGGAGCGAACAGG
RNAcentral lists this ribosomal RNA (253 nucleotides) under uncultured bacterium. RNAcentral's name for it is "partial 16S ribosomal RNA". It matches the Rfam family "Bacterial small subunit ribosomal RNA", at positions 524 to 776 of the family's 1533-position model. The record is from RNAcentral.